AUUGAACGCUGGCGGCAGGCCUAACACAUGCAAGUCGAACGGUAACAGGAAGCAGCUUGCUGCUUUGCUGACGAGUGGCGGACGGGUGAGUAAUGUCUGGGAAACUGCCCGAUGGAGGGGGAUAACUACUGGAAACGGUAGCUAAUACCGCAUAAAGUCGCAAGACCAAAGAGGGGGACCUUAGGGGCUCUUGCCCGCGGAUGUGCCCAGAUGGGAUUAGCUAGUAGGUGGGGUAACGGCUCACCUAGGCGACGAUCCCUAGCUGGUCUGAGAGGAUGACCAGCCACACUGGAACUGAGACACGGUCCAGACUCCUACGGGAGGCAGCAGUGGGGAAUAUUGCACAAUGGGCGCAAGCCUGAUGCAGCCAUGCCGCGUGUAUGAAGAAGGCCUUCGGGUUGUAAAGUACUUUCAGCGGGGAGGAAGGGAGUAAAGUUAAUACCUUUGCUCAUUGACGUUACCCGCAGAAGAAGCACCGGCUAACUCCGUG
Molecule: ribosomal RNA, 490 nt
Filed under: uncultured bacterium
Lineage: Bacteria
Description: partial 16S ribosomal RNA
Rfam family: Bacterial small subunit ribosomal RNA
Source: RNAcentral